RNAcentral lists this ribosomal RNA (469 nucleotides) under uncultured bacterium. Its description in RNAcentral is "partial 16S ribosomal RNA". It matches the Rfam family "Bacterial small subunit ribosomal RNA", at positions 28 to 507 of the family's 1533-position model. The record is from RNAcentral.
GACGAACGCUGGCGGCGUGCUUAACACAUGCAAGUCGAACGGAAAGGCCCUGCUUGCAGGGUGCUCGAGUGGCGAACGGGUGAGUAACACGUGGGUGAUCUGCCCCUUACUUUGGGAUAAGCCUGGGAAACUGGGUCUAAUACUGGAUAGGACCAUGCUGUAGGUGGUGUGGUGGAAAGAUUAGUUUCGGUAAGGGAUGAGCUCGCGGCCUAUCAGCUUGUUGGUGGGGUAAUGGCCUACCAAGGCGUCGACGGGUAGCCGGCCUGAGAGGGUGGACGGCAACAUUGGGACUGAGAUACGGCCCAGACUCCUACGGGAGGCAGCAGUGGGGAAUAUUGCACAAUGGGCGCAAGCCUGAUGCAGCGACGCCGCGUGGGGGAUGACGGCCUUCGGGUUGUAAACUCCUUUCAGCCAUGACGAAGCCCUUGUGGUGACGGUAGUGGUAGAAGAAGCACCGGCUAACUACGUG